AUAAUCAUUAGUUUUUUAAUUGAAGGCUGGAAUGAAUGAUUGGACGAGAUAUUUACUGUCUCAAUUAAAAUAAAAUUAAAAUUUAUAAUUUAAUUUAAAAUAGUUAAAUGAAAUUAAAAGACGAGAAGACCCUAUAGAGUUUAAUAUAUAUAUAUAUAUAUAUAUAUAUGUGUAUAUAUAUAUAUAUAUAUAUAUAUAUUUGGUUGGGGUGAUUUUAGAAUUUAAAAAAUUUCUAAAUUUAAAAACAUUAAUUUAUGAAAAUUAUUGAUUUUAUACUAAAAGAAUUAGAUAAAUUACCUUAGGGAUAACAGCGUAAUUUUUUUGGAAAGAUCAUAUUUAUAAAAAAGUUUGC
This 352-nucleotide ribosomal RNA is filed under the name Syntexis libocedrii. RNAcentral's name for it is "partial 16S ribosomal RNA". The record is from RNAcentral. Lineage: Eukaryota; Metazoa; Arthropoda; Insecta; Hymenoptera; Anaxyelidae.